UAUUACCGCGGCUGCUGGCACGGAGUUAGCCGGAGCUUAUUCUCCCGGUACUGUCAUUAUCAUCCCGGGUAAAAGAGCUUUACAACCCUAAGGCCUUCAUCACUCACGCGGCAUUGCUGGAUCAGGCUUUCGCCCAUUGUCCAAUAUUCCCCACUGCUGCCUCCCGUAGGAAUCUC
RNAcentral lists this ribosomal RNA (176 nucleotides) under uncultured bacterium. Its description in RNAcentral is "partial 16S ribosomal RNA". The record is from RNAcentral.